RNAcentral lists this ribosomal RNA (499 nucleotides) under uncultured bacterium. RNAcentral describes it as "partial 16S ribosomal RNA". It matches the Rfam family "Bacterial small subunit ribosomal RNA", at positions 28 to 507 of the family's 1533-position model. The record is from RNAcentral.
GAUGAACGCUGGCGGCGUGCCUAAUACAUGCAAGUCGAGCGAACAGACGAGAGUGCUUGCACUCUCUGACGUUAGCGGCGGACGGGUGAGUAACACGUGGGUAACCUACCUAUAAGACUGGGAUAACUUCGGGAAACCGGAGCUAAUACCGGAUAAUAUUUAGCUUCGCAUGAAGCAAUAGUGAAAGACGGUUCUGCUGUCACUUAUAGAUGGACCCGCGGUGUAUUAGCUAGUUGGUGAGGUAACGGCUCACCAAGGCAACGAUACAUAGCCGACCUGAGAGGGUGAUCGGCCACACUGGGACUGAGACACGGCCCAGACUCCUACGGGAGGCAGCAGUAGGGAAUCUUCCGCAAAGGACGGAAGUCUGACGGAGCAAUGCCGCGUGAGUGAAGAAGGUUUUCGGAUCGUAAAACUCUGUUGUAAGGGAAGAACAAGUACGUUAGUAACUGAACGUACCUUGACGGUACCUUACCAGAAAGCCACGGCUAACUACGUG